CUUUAGAAGCUGUGCUGGGGUUCUACGAUGAUACACCAACCACUUGUGCUGCCACCUGUCAAAACUUUGGAUGGCCCUACUUUCAGGUCAUGACCUUGAAUUUAAGAAAUUCUUCAGGACAAUGUCCAAUAUGAUCCGAGGGAAAAUGUGAUUUGAGUCUGGAGACAAUUGUGAAUAUCAACUAAUAAUAAAAACCCAGUAUAGCUGAUAGAAGAAAAAACG
Molecule: long non-coding RNA, 222 nt
Filed under: Ursus americanus (American black bear)
Lineage: Eukaryota; Metazoa; Chordata; Mammalia; Carnivora; Ursidae
Description: lncRNA (ENSUAMG00000021389.1)
Source: RNAcentral